RNAcentral lists this ribosomal RNA (2925 nucleotides) under Escherichia coli. RNAcentral's name for it is "partial 23S ribosomal RNA". It matches the Rfam family "Bacterial large subunit ribosomal RNA". Lineage: Bacteria; Pseudomonadati; Pseudomonadota; Gammaproteobacteria; Enterobacterales; Enterobacteriaceae. The record is from RNAcentral.
GGGUUGUGAGGUUAAGCGACUAAGCGUACACGGUGGAUGCCCUGGCAGUCAGAGGCGAUGAAGGACGUGCUAAUCUGCGAUAAGCGUCGGUAAGGUGAUAUGAACCGUUAUAACCGGCGAUUUCCGAAUGGGGAAACCCAGUGUGUUUCGACACACUAUCAUUAACUGAAUCCAUAGGUUAAUGAGGCGAACCGGGGGAACUGAAACAUCUAAGUACCCCGAGGAAAAGAAAUCAACCGAGAUUCCCCCAGUAGCGGCGAGCGAACGGGGAGCAGCCCAGAGCCUGAAUCAGUAUGUGUGUUAGUGGAAGCGUCUGGAAAGGCGCGCGAUACAGGGUGACAGCCCCGUACACAAAAAUGCACAUAUUGUGAGCUCGAUGAGUAGGGCGGGACACGUGGUAUCCUGUCUGAAUAUGGGGGGACCAUCCUCCAAGGCUAAAUACUCCUGACUGACCGAUAGUGAACCAGUACCGUGAGGGAAAGGCGAAAAGAACCCCGGCGAGGGGAGUGAAAAAGAACCUGAAACCGUGUACGUACAAGCAGUGGGAGCACGCUUAGGCGUGUGACUGCGUACCUUUUGUAUAAUGGGUCAGCGACUUAUAUUCUGUAGCAAGGUUAACCGAAUAGGGGAGCCGAAGGGAAACCGAGUCUUAACUGGGCGUUAAGUUGCAGGGUAUAGACCCGAAACCCGGUGAUCUAGCCAUGGGCAGGUUGAAGGUUGGGUAACACUAACUGGAGGACCGAACCGACUAAUGUUGAAAAAUUAGCGGAUGACUUGUGGCUGGGGGUGAAAGGCCAAUCAAACCGGGAGAUAGCUGGUUCUCCCCGAAAGCUAUUUAGGUAGCGCCUCGUGAAUUCAUCUCCGGGGGUAGAGCACUGUUUCGGCAAGGGGGUCAUCCCGACUUACCAACCCGAUGCAAACUGCGAAUACCGGAGAAUGUUAUCACGGGAGACACACGGCGGGUGCUAACGUCCGUCGUGAAGAGGGAAACAACCCAGACCGCCAGCUAAGGUCCCAAAGUCAUGGUUAAGUGGGAAACGAUGUGGGAAGGCCCAGACAGCCAGGAUGUUGGCUUAGAAGCAGCCAUCAUUUAAAGAAAGCGUAAUAGCUCACUGGUCGAGUCGGCCUGCGCGGAAGAUGUAACGGGGCUAAACCAUGCACCGAAGCUGCGGCAGCGACGCUGAUGCGUUGUUGGGUAGGGGAGCGUUCUGUAAGCCUGCGAAGGUGUGCUGUGAGGCAUGCUGGAGGUAUCAGAAGUGCGAAUGCUGACAUAAGUAACGAUAAAGCGGGUGAAAAGCCCGCUCGCCGGAAGACCAAGGGUUCCUGUCCAACGUUAAUCGGGGCAGGGUGAGUCGACCCCUAAGGCGAGGCCGAAAGGCGUAGUCGAUGGGAAACAGGUUAAUAUUCCUGUACUUGGUGUUACUGCGAAGGGGGGACGGAGAAGGCUAUGUUGGCCGGGCGACGGUUGUCCCGGUUUAAGCGUGUAGGCUGGUUUUCCAGGCAAAUCCGGAAAAUCAAGGCUGAGGCGUGAUGACGAGGCACUACGGUGCUGAAGCAACAAAUGCCCUGCUUCCAGGAAAAGCCUCUAAGCAUCAGGUAACAUCAAAUCGUACCCCAAACCGACACAGGUGGUCAGGUAGAGAAUACCAAGGCGCUUGAGAGAACUCGGGUGAAGGAACUAGGCAAAAUGGUGCCGUAACUUCGGGAGAAGGCACGCUGAUAUGUAGGUGAGGUCCCUCGCGGAUGGAGCUGAAAUCAGUCGAAGAUACCAGCUGGCUGCAACUGUUUAUUAAAAACACAGCACUGUGCAAACACGAAAGUGGACGUAUACGGUGUGACGCCUGCCCGGUGCCGGAAGGUUAAUUGAUGGGGUCAGCGCAAGCGAAGCUCUUGAUCGAAGCCCCGGUAAACGGCGGCCGUAACUAUAACGGUCCUAAGGUAGCGAAAUUCCUUGUCGGGUAAGUUCCGACCUGCACGAAUGGCGUAAUGAUGGCCAGGCUGUCUCCACCCGAGACUCAGUGAAAUUGAACUCGCUGUGAAGAUGCAGUGUACCCGCGGCAAGACGGAAAGACCCCGUGAACCUUUACUAUAGCUUGACACUGAACAUUGAGCCUUGAUGUGUAGGAUAGGUGGGAGGCUUAGAAGUGUGGACGCCAGUCUGCAUGGAGCCGACCUUGAAAUACCACCCUUUAAUGUUUGAUGUUCUAACGUUGACCCGUAAUCCGGGUUGCGGACAGUGUCUGGUGGGUAGUUUGACUGGGGCGGUCUCCUCCUAAAGAGUAACGGAGGAGCACGAAGGUUGGCUAAUCCUGGUCGGACAUCAGGAGGUUAGUGCAAUGGCAUAAGCCAGCUUGACUGCGAGCGUGACGGCGCGAGCAGGUGCGAAAGCAGGUCAUAGUGAUCCGGUGGUUCUGAAUGGAAGGGCCAUCGCUCAACGGAUAAAAGGUACUCCGGGGAUAACAGGCUGAUACCGCCCAAGAGUUCAUAUCGACGGCGGUGUUUGGCACCUCGAUGUCGGCUCAUCACAUCCUGGGGCUGAAGUAGGUCCCAAGGGUAUGGCUGUUCGCCAUUUAAAGUGGUACGCGAGCUGGGUUUAGAACGUCGUGAGACAGUUCGGUCCCUAUCUGCCGUGGGCGCUGGAGAACUGAGGGGGGCUGCUCCUAGUACGAGAGGACCGGAGUGGACGCAUCACUGGUGUUCGGGUUGUCAUGCCAAUGGCACUGCCCGGUAGCUAAAUGCGGAAGAGAUAAGUGCUGAAAGCAUCUAAGCACGAAACUUGCCCCGAGAUGAGUUCUCCCUGACCCUUUAAGGGUCCUGAAGGAACGUUGAAGACGACGACGUUGAUAGGCCGGGUGUGUAAGCGCAGCGAUGCGUUGAGCUAACCGGUACUAAUGAACCGUGAGGCUUAACCUUACAACGCCGAAG